RNAcentral lists this ribosomal RNA (611 nucleotides) under Pentodon algerinum. RNAcentral's name for it is "partial 16S large subunit ribosomal RNA". It matches the Rfam family "Bacterial large subunit ribosomal RNA", at positions 1845 to 2733 of the family's 2925-position model. Lineage: Eukaryota; Metazoa; Arthropoda; Insecta; Coleoptera; Scarabaeidae. The record is from RNAcentral.
AUUUAAGUCUAACCUGCCCAAUGAGGAGUUAAAUGGCCGCGGUAUUUUGACCGUGCAAAGGUAGCAUAAUCAUUAGUUUUUUAAUUGGAAGCUGGAAUGAAUGGUUGGACGAGAAAGCAACUGUCUCAUUUUAAUUGUGAUUAGAAUUUUAUCUGUGAGUUAAAAAGCUCACAUAAUUUUAAAAGACGAGAAGACCCUAUAGAAUUUUAUAGUUUUGAUGAUGUAUUUUUGUUAGAAUUUUAUAUUUUACAUUAUUAGAACUGUUUCGUUGGGGCGAUGGAAAAAUUUAAUGAACUUUUUUUUAUACUUUUCAUAAAUUUAUGUAUGAAUGAUCCGUUAUUUACGAUUAUAAGAUAAAAUUACCUUAGGGAUAACAGCGUAAUUUUUCUUUAGAGUUCUAAUCGAAAGAAGAGUUUGCGACCUCGAUGUUGGAUUAAAAUUAACUUUUGGUGCAGGAGCUAAAAGGUUAGGUCUGUUCGACCUUUAAAAUUUUACAUGAUCUGAGUUUAAACCGGCGUGAGCCAGGUUGGUUUCUAUCUUUAAAGAAUUUAGGUAUUUUAGUACGAAAGGAUUAAAUACCUAUAAUAAUUAUUAUGUUUUGAAUAUUAAUA